RNAcentral lists this ribosomal RNA (479 nucleotides) under uncultured organism. Its description in RNAcentral is "partial 16S ribosomal RNA". It matches the Rfam family "Bacterial small subunit ribosomal RNA", at positions 331 to 801 of the family's 1533-position model. The record is from RNAcentral.
GUACACUCCUACGGGAGGCAGCAGUGGGGAAUUUUGGACAAUGGGCGAAAGCCUGAUCCAGCAAUGCCGCGUGAGUGAAGAAGGCCUUCGGGUUGUAAAGCUCUUUUGUCAGGGAAGAAACGGUGAGAGCUAAUAUCUCUUGCUAAUGACGGUACCUGAAGAAUAAGCACCGGCUAACUACGUGCCAGCAGCCGCGGUAAUACGUAGGGUGCAAGCGUUAAUCGGAAUUACUGGGCGUAAAGCGUGCGCAGGCGGUUUUGUAAGUCUGAUGUGAAAUCCCCGGGCUCAACCUGGGAAUUGCAUUGGAGACUGCAAGGCUAGAAUCUGGCAGAGGGGGGUAGAAUUCCACGUGUAGCAGUGAAAUGCGUAGAUAUGUGGAGGAACACCGAUGGCGAAGGCAGCCCCCUGGGUCAAGAUUGAUGCUCAUGCACGAAAGCGUGGGGAGCAAACAGGAUUAGAUACCCCGGUAGUCCCAUGAU